This 366-nucleotide long non-coding RNA is filed under the name Triticum aestivum (bread wheat). RNAcentral's name for it is "long non-coding RNA (TAES_LNC026557)". Lineage: Eukaryota; Viridiplantae; Streptophyta; Magnoliopsida; Poales; Poaceae. The record is from RNAcentral.
AUUGUCCGAUUUGUUUCUUCAAGUGGAGUGACUCUACCAGGGGCAGAGUGCCCUAUCCGGAGGUGCACGGCCAAUUCUCAACCUGAAAUCAUAUUCAGAUGUUUUAAUUGCUGAAUCCGUCUUUCAUAUACCAGGGUAUAUCAGUCAAUGAAUGACAUGAUCCACCUACAAACACAAUCUAUGCUAAUUGUACACACGGAUUACCACAAAAAUUAGGAGUGCAGACUGCAGCCAGCUGACACUAGUAAUCAUAGCCCCAUGCAUCCAUUGACAUACACAGAAAAUAUGUGACAUUAGUUGCAAAAAUCAAAACCAUCUCGUCAUAAAGAACACUAAUUUCAUUUGUACCUUCUGGUCCACCCCGGC